UACGAAGGGGGCUAGCGUUGCUCGGAAUUACUGGGCGUAAAGGGCGCGUAGGCGGGUCGUCAAGUUGGGGGUGAAAGCCCGGGGCUCAACCUCGGAAUUGCCUUCAAAACUGACGACCUAGAGUAUGGGAGAGGUGUGUGGAACUCCGAGUGUAGAGGUGAAAUUCGUAGAUAUUCGGAAGAACACCAGUGGCGAAGGCGACACACUGGCCCAUUACUGACGCUGAGGUGCGAAAGCGUGGGGAGCAAACAGG
This 253-nucleotide ribosomal RNA is filed under the name uncultured bacterium. RNAcentral describes it as "partial 16S ribosomal RNA". It matches the Rfam family "Bacterial small subunit ribosomal RNA", at positions 524 to 776 of the family's 1533-position model. The record is from RNAcentral.